AGCCAGAAAGUUGGGAGAUGUCUGAUGCCAACAUAAUGCGCUUACAAGGUAAUAGGUGAACUUUAAAGGCAGAGCUUUGCCGUAAUCAGCAUGGUGGCGCAGUGGGUAGUGCUGCUGCCCCUCAGUAAGGAGACUUGGGUUCGCCUCCCUGCGUGGAGUUUGCAUGUUCUCCCCAUGUCUGCGUGGGUUUCCUCCCACAGUCCAAAGACAUGCAGGUUAGGUGCAUUGGCAAUCCUAAAUUGUCCCUAGUGUGUGCUUGGUGUGUGUGCCCUGCGGUUUACUGCCUUGCUCCCGGUGUUGGCUGGGAUUGGCUCCAGCAGACCCCCGUGACCCUGUAGUUAGGAUAUAGUGUGUUGGACAGUAACUGACUGACUGGCUUUGCCAUAAUGGGUAUAAUCUGACAAGUGGAGUCGCUCUAGAAGAUGCACUCCUACCAUGUCUGAGACGUUGUGUCGAAAUGGCGGUAGUGGUUCAGGCCUCUGCCAGCCUGACAGGAUCAGCAACAAGUGUUGAUCAAACAGUAAGAACAUUCAGAUCUUGUGUCCUAGAAGAGUCUCCGGCCUCUACGUUCAAGUUUGUUGUCAUGUGUAUAUUAAACAAUGACAUUUUUACUUGCAUGUCUUCACAGAAAAGUUGUCAAUAAUACCAGCAAAACAUACACACACACACACACAAUGUAUGUAACCUAAAAUGAAUUUAUAUACAAUAUACAGUAUAUUUGCAAAGAUUUCUUUACAUACAUACAGUGUGUGCUAUGCUCAGACAUAUUCUUAUGACUAGCUGUUCAGUUACCUUAUGACCUGUAGACAGAAACUGUCUCUGAGUCUACUGGUGUGAUGCCAAUGGAGAGGAGUGGGAACAGGGGCUGUGCAGGAUGGCAGAAGUCUUUACUACUCCAGUUUGCCUUUCUAAGAAAUUGAGUGAUGUUUAUUAUGUCAUGAACAGAAGGCACCUCAUCAUGCAUUCACCUGGUCAAACUAUAGAAAGAAAGAAAUGCGGGCCACGCUGACCUCUGGUCAGAUCAGGCUAAACAGCACAGAGUCAGAUUCAUUCAGAUGAGAGGUUCAUGCCAUGUCAGAGUUAAUAAAGAAAGAAACGUGGGAUACCGACUUAUGAUCAGAUCAGACUAAACAAUUCAGAGUCAAGUUCCAGUAGUUGAAGGGCUCAGGUCAAGCUAAGUAAAAUAAAAAAAAAACAUGCAGGACAAUGACACACAAUCAGAUCAGACAAAAUGGCACAGGGUAGGGUUGUUGUAGUUGAGAGGGCUCAAGCCAAAUCAGACUAUACAGCAAAAGAAAUGCGCGGGCCAGUGACGUAUGAUCGGAUCAGACUAAAGAGUUCACACUUGAGUCUCUGUAGCUGAAGGACUCAUGCCAGACCAGAGUUGGGUAAACGUGGCUCAGCAGUCUUAUGCUAGAAAGAAAGAAAGAAAGAAAGAAAGAAAGAAAGAAAGAAAGAAAUGUGGGCCAAUUACCUUUAAUCUGAUCAGAAUAAAUUGUACAGAGCAGGGUUGUUGUACUUAAGAGGACUCAAGCCGAUUCAGACUAUACAGCAAAGGAAAUGCAGGCCACUGAUGUAUGAUCAGAUCAGACUAAAGAGUUCAUACGUGGGUUCUUGUAGCUGAAGGGCUGGGGUCAGGUAAGACUAAAUAAAAAAUGAAAUGCAGGACACUAACCUACAAUCAGAUCUGACAAAAUGGCACAGAGUAGGGUUGUUGUACUUAAGAGGACUCAAGCCGAUUCAGACUAUACAGCAAAGGAAAUGCAGGCCACUGAUGUAUGAUCAGAUCAGACUAAAGAGUUCAUAGUUGAGUUCCUGUAGCUGAAGAGCUCAUGCCAGAUCAGACCAGAUUUGGGUAAAUGUGACUCAGAAGAAAGAAAGAAAGAAAGAAAGAAAGAAAGAAAGAAAGAAAGAAAGAAAGAAAGAAAGAAAGAAAGAAAGAAAGAAAGAAAGAAAGAAAGAAAUGUGGGUCAAUGAUCUCUGAUCAGAUCAGACUAAAGGGCACUUACACUUAAAGAGGGCUCC
This is a long non-coding RNA of Erpetoichthys calabaricus (reedfish), 2025 nucleotides long. RefSeq lists it as uncharacterized. Lineage: Eukaryota; Metazoa; Chordata; Cladistia; Polypteriformes; Polypteridae. The transcript has 4 exons. The record is from RefSeq and is a predicted model, not a curated record.